UCUUGUGCAAUGAACGAAAGUAUGACACAGAGAGGACACAUUUAUUUGAGCCCGUCAAAUUAAGUGCCAGCCGACGCGGUUAGACUUAAGGGCUGGUCUUUAUAAGUAAAGGCGUAAAGGAUGUGUAGGCCAAGAAUAUCCAAGAAGGUAAUGGAAUUUUUCUGGAGCGGUAGAAUGUGAGGAUAGAAAAUAGAACUCCUAAGGUUAACUAUUACCACAAGAUAGGCUGAAACAUGAAAGUGUGGGGAGCAAACAGGAUUAGAGACCCUGGUAGUCCACACUGUGAACUUUGAAGAUGAUGCUUAGCAGACCCGAAAGGUAAAAUCUUCCGCCUGAGUAGUACGAUCGCAAGAUUAAAAUUCAAAAACUUUGGCUGUUCACUAUUUCGAUUAGAGGAGCGUGUAGUUUAAUUCGAUGGUCCGCGUGUUACCUCACCCCAGCUUGAAUCCGUGACCGGUAUUGCAUGGCCGUCGUAAGUCCGUGUGUUAAGCUAGAAGGGACCCAACCCGGGCACCUGCCCGGAGGAAGUCAGGUCUUAUGAUCCGAAUGUUGGGGGAUUGUAUGCGCUACAUUUUCUUAUAUAAUGGGAGACCUGGAAGGUGAACCUCUAAAGUAAGAGUUCGGAAGGUUGCUGUAAGACGACUGGAAGUUGAAUUUAAUAGUAAUCGGAAAGUAGGGCGUUCCGGUGAAUUGGUGUAAGUGUUAGCACAAAUUGCCCGUCACCUUUACCUAGAAUGGUU
RNAcentral lists this ribosomal RNA (740 nucleotides) under Exocoelactis actinostoloides. RNAcentral describes it as "partial 12S ribosomal RNA". It matches the Rfam family "Bacterial small subunit ribosomal RNA", at positions 362 to 1417 of the family's 1533-position model. Lineage: Eukaryota; Metazoa; Cnidaria; Anthozoa; Actiniaria; Exocoelactinidae. The record is from RNAcentral.